AUUGAACGCUGGCGGCAUGCCUUACACAUGCAAGUCGAACGGCAGCGCGGGGCAACCUGGCGGCGAGUGGCGAACGGGUGAGUAAUAUAUCGGAACGUGCCCUGGAGUGGGGAUAACGUAGCGAAAGUUACGCUAAUACCGCAUACGAUCCAAGGAUGAAAGCAGGGGACCUUCGGGCCUUGUGCUCCUGGAGCGGCCGAUAUCUGAUUAGCUAGUUGGUGGGGUAAAAGCCUACCAAGGCGACGAUCAGUAGCUGGUCUGAGAGGACGACCAGCCACACUGGAACUGAGACACGGUCCAGACUCCUACGGGAGGCAGCAGUGGGAAUUUUGGACAAUGGGGGCAACCCUGAUCCAGCAAUGCCGCGUGUGUGAAGAA
Molecule: ribosomal RNA, 378 nt
Filed under: uncultured bacterium
Lineage: Bacteria
Description: bacterial SSU rRNA
Rfam family: Bacterial small subunit ribosomal RNA
Source: RNAcentral